CCUACGGGGGGCAGCAGUGGGGAAUAUUGCACAAUGGGCGAAAGCCUGAUGCAGCAACGCCGCGUGAAGGAAGACGGUUUUCGGAUUGUAAACUUCUGUUCUUAGUGAAGAAUAAGGACGGUAACUAAGGAGCAAGCCACGGCUAACUACGUGCCAGCGGCCGCGGUAAUAAGAAGGUGGCAAGCGUUGUCCGGAAUUACUGGGUGUAAAGGGAGCGUAGGCGGGAAGCCAAGUCAGAUGUGAAAACUACGGGCUUAACCUGUGGACUGCAGUUGAAACUGGCUUGCUUGAGUGAAGUAGAGGCUGGCGGAAUUCCGAGUGUAGCGGUGAAAUGCGUAGAUAUUCGGAGGAACACCGGUGGCGAAGGCAGCCAACUGGGCUUUAACUGACGCUGAGGCUCGAAAGUGUGGGGAGCAAACAGGAUUAGAUACCCGUGUAGUC
This 441-nucleotide ribosomal RNA is filed under the name uncultured bacterium. RNAcentral describes it as "partial 16S ribosomal RNA". It matches the Rfam family "Bacterial small subunit ribosomal RNA", at positions 338 to 795 of the family's 1533-position model. The record is from RNAcentral.